AUGUCUGUUUCGCUCCGUCGAUGCUUCAAUCGUAGUGAAGAUGAAUCGAAACCCACGUAUGUUGGUUCAACUCAGGAUUUAAGUAGUCAGAUCCCCCUGCAGAAUCGUGAAGCCCUCCCUGAUAAAUCUGCUUUGAUUUCCGAAUUGGUUUCGGAUGGCUGCCAAUUGUAUGCAGCACGCAGGCUUGACGUUAAGGGUGAGAACCAAAUUGCAAAGUUACCUUGA
This is a non-coding RNA of Vicia faba (fava bean), 225 nucleotides long. The record is from the annotation of a GenBank genome assembly. Lineage: Eukaryota; Viridiplantae; Streptophyta; Magnoliopsida; Fabales; Fabaceae.